GCCUCUGUAGCUCAAUGGAAGAGCGGUUCCGUCCUAAGGAAAAGGUUGGGGGUUCGACUCCCUCCAGGGGCACC
Molecule: transfer RNA, 74 nt
Filed under: uncultured Actinomycetes bacterium
Lineage: Bacteria; Bacillati; Actinomycetota; Actinomycetes
Description: uncultured actinobacterium tRNA-Arg
Rfam family: tRNA
About the family: Transfer RNA (tRNA) molecules are approximately 80 nucleotides in length. Their secondary structure includes four short double-helical elements and three loops (D, anti-codon, and T loops). Further hydrogen bonds mediate the characteristic L-shaped molecular structure. tRNAs have two regions of fundamental functional importance: the anti-codon, which is responsible for specific mRNA codon recognition, and the 3' end, to which the tRNAs corresponding amino acid is attached (by aminoacyl-tRNA synthetases). tRNAs cope with the degeneracy of the genetic code in two manners: having more than one tRNA (with a specific anti-codon) for a particular amino acid; and 'wobble' base-pairing, i.e. permitting non-standard base-pairing at the 3rd anti-codon position.
Source: RNAcentral